UGAAGNUAAAGGCUGUGGCUUAACCAUAGUACGCUUUGGAAACUGUUUAACUNGAGUGCAGAAGGGGAGAGUGGAAUUCCAUGUGUAGCGGUGAAAUGCGUAGAUAUAUGGAGGAACACCGGUGGCGAAAGCGGCUCUCUGGUCUGUAACUGACGCUGAGGCUCGAAAGCGUGGGGAGCGAACAGGAUUAGAUACCCUGGUAGUCCACGCCGUAAACGAUGAGUGCUAGGUGUUAGGCCCUUUCCGGGGCUUAGUGCCGCAGCUAACGCAUUAAGCACUCCGCCUGGGGAGUACGACCGCAAGGUUGAAACUCAAAGGAAUUGACGGGGGCCCGCACAAGCGGUGGAGCAUGUGGUUUAAUUCGAAGCAACGCGAAGAACCUUACCAGGUCUGACAUCCCGAUGCCCGCUCUAGAGAUAGAGUUUUACUUCGGUACAUCGGUGACAGGUGGUGCAUGGUUGUCGUCAGCUCGUGUCGUGAGAUGUUGGGUUAAGUCCCGCAACGAGCGCAACCCUUAUUGUUAGUUGCCAUCAUUCAGUUGGGCACUCUAGCGAGACUGCCGGUAAUAAACCGGAGGAAGGUGGGGAUGACGUCAAAUCAUCAUGCCCCUUAUGACCUGGGCUACACACGUGCUACAAUGGCUGGUACAACGAGUCGCAAGUCGGUGACGGCAAGCUAAUCUCUUAAAGCCAGUCUCAGUUCGGAUUGUAGGCUGCAACUCGCCUACAUGAAGUCGGAAUCGCUAGUAAUCGCGGAUCAGCACGCCGCGGUGAAUAUGUUCCCGGGCCUUGUACACACCGCCCGUCACACCACGAGAGUUUGUAACACCCGAAGUCGGUGAGGUAACCUUUUAGGAGCCAGCC
This 863-nucleotide ribosomal RNA is filed under the name uncultured bacterium. RNAcentral's name for it is "bacterial SSU rRNA". It matches the Rfam family "Bacterial small subunit ribosomal RNA", at positions 590 to 1454 of the family's 1533-position model. The record is from RNAcentral.